UUUCUCUCUCUCCAUCUCUCUCUGUCUCUCUCUUUCUCUCUGUCUCUCUCUCCCUCUGCCUGUCUCUCUCACUGUGUCUGUCUUCUGUCUUACUCUCCUUCUCUGUCUGUCUCUAUCUCCCCCUCUCUUUCUGUUUCUCUCUCUCUCACUCUCUCCGUCUCUCUCUUUCUGUCUGUUUCUCUCUGUCUGUCUCUGUCUCUCUGUCUCUGUCUGUCUCUCUUUCUGUCUGUUUCUCUCUGUCUCUCUCUGUCCAUCUCUGUCUUUCUAUGUCUGUCUCUUUCUCUGUCAGUCUGUCAGAGCCCCC
RNAcentral lists this long non-coding RNA (304 nucleotides) under Homo sapiens (human). RNAcentral's name for it is "HSALNT0409306". Lineage: Eukaryota; Metazoa; Chordata; Mammalia; Primates; Hominidae. The record is from RNAcentral.